AUUGAAAUGGUGUAGAACUAAAAUAGGAGUUGGCAUAAUUGGACAUUUUUUCUUAGAAUUAAUCUUUUACUAUUUUUCCUAUCUUGUCUUUGAAUAUCAUUUCUCAAACAUGUUUAAUAUAUGUUAUUUGCUUCACCUCGCUUAUUGAUUUAUUUCUUGAAGUAUUUUUAUGUAUUUGGACGUCCUAUUGUUAUUCACAUACUACCGUGAAUUUUUCAUCAAAUCUAUUGAUUGACUCCAUUCGGUAUUGAAAAAAUAUUAUUGUAUUAGUAUGUCUUGUAUUUCAUAUUUGAGAUGUCACAAAAAGAUUUCCUUAUCUUAUGCUCAUUCCCCUUUUCUUUAAUUAAUGAAAACAUGUCUUAGACUAUAUCAUAUCAUAGUAUUUGGUACAAAUAUGUGUUGAUCUAUAGAAAAUAUUUGUCCAAAUUUUAAGCAACAAUACUUAUGGGUCAAUGUCUUCUUUUCAUGGAUUAGUUGAUUAUAUUGUGCUAGGCUCGAGUUUUUGUAAGAUUGUUUGAGAAAUACGUUAAUUUCCUUUUCAUUGGAUAAUUUGAUUUGUUUUUUUAUAACAUAGAAUACUAUUUAUUUAUGCUUGAGAAUACUAUUUUUUUAUCUCAUCAUUUAUCUAUUAAGUGUAGAAUUUUCGAACACAUUAAUUCUUUUCUUUUAUCUUCUUCUUUGCAUGAAUCUGUCUUAGAGUCCAAAUGGACUCCUUUCCUCUUGCAUUUUGUAAUGGGCCAAUGAAUCCCACUUCUUUGAGUCAAGUUUGAAGUUUAAACCCAAAUAUGAUUAUAUGGCAUGCGGGUGCAAGAAAAUGGAAGAAGAAGAAAAAUGGGUCAAACCCCAUUGUUGAGAUUGCUAAGAGGCUUAAAAAGUCUUGAUUUUUAUUAUUGUGUUAUUCUUAAUUAAUUAAUUUUUUUAUCUAUUUGCUCAUUCAUUUGGGCCUCGAAGCCAACGUUGUAAUUUAAUAUAGGUGAAGCAGAUUUUUGGGCCUUCAAGAUCGGAAAACUAGCUUACGAUAGGUUAUGGGCCAAAAGUCCAAGUAUUUAGACUAGGACAGGUGAAGAUGGGUCAAUAGUCCAAAUUAGCUUAGGACGGGGUUUAUGAAUUUGGGCUUAAUGACCUAAGUCUUUUUAGUCUCCCCCUUUCCCCUUUAUAUGCUAAUUGUGUUUAGUUUUUUUUUUUAGACUUGGCUAAAAAUUUCCGCUGUCAUCAAAAUUUUUUUGCACAAAUCUUAAAAACAAAUUUUUUUUCCUUAAUUGAUUUAUCUUCAAAAAUCAACUUUCCCUUUUAAAGUUAGUCAAAAAAUUAUGUUCAUAUAGUCUGGAUAACCGCAAGUUGUGCCAACAACCUUCCAAGAGUAUUAAAAGGAAUCACUUACUUGAAAUUUCUAAACUUAAAAGGUUUUUUCUAUUUUGAAUCUUUUAUGUAAUAUUUUUAGUUUUUCUUGAUAUUUAUCAAAAAUCAAGUGUCGACUCUAAAAUUUCUUAAAUUAUUUGGAACUUUUCUUUAAUAUUUUGAAAUAGUUUAAAAAGUUGAAAAUAAUAUUUUCCAAUUCAUCGAAUCGAAAAGGGGAAAACGGAAAUGGUGACUCUGUUGGAGACUUUAGCUAGGUUCUAACCAAAUAUUUGAAUUAGCUUCUUUGACUAACUAUUGUAGUGUUUAAACUAUUUAUGUGCUUACGUGUUUAAAUUAUUGUAAUUAUUAACUAUUGCAUUCAUGGCAUAAUUCUUCAUUUUGAUUAUUAAACUAUUUUUAGAUUUCAUGGAUGUCCCGGCCCCUGUUGCUCAAUUUCAAAUAAAGUGUUGGAAAUACAAUGGUUUAUUUGCACAUGAGGCGUCCGAUGGCUUUUCAUAUUUUCAAACCCAAGUCGGCCGCUUAGGAACCUAGUUCAAACCCAUUUUAGAUAUCUAGGAUAGAGCAAAACUAAAACCCUAUUAAGGCAUGAGCCUAGGAUAACCCAAUACCUGAGGGGGUAUUGGGCCUAUUAGAAAAUCUGCCUUGUGUUUAUUAGACCACGAGCCAUAAUAUACUAUCAUCCUUUAUGUGUUAAAUUAAAGAAUAUAAUGUCGGAUUGUAUGGGCCAUUGUCCCUCGGGUUUGAGGGUUUUAUUUAGAUUGUUUCUUUUAACCAAAAAAAAAUCUUCAUCGGAAGGAUAUUCAGAUAUUUCAAGAAGUUCAAAAUCAGAGGACUCCCAAGGAAGUUUAGUUUAGACUUUCUCCCCUGCAUGGGACUGAUAUCACGUAUUUCCCUUUUCCAUAUUUUGUAUCCCCAUUUGUUUUAUUCAUAAAGUUUGUCUAAUAUAUUUGGGGUCUAUGGAACGUCUUUAAAACGGCAUGUAUAUCCUUCAAACGUUAGGCAUACCUCUGGGCUUGAACGGUCCCAUGUAUGAUAGGGCGCGUUAUAAAUUAUUUGUGCGCUAAAGUGCAUCAUUAUUUUGCUUUAUCUAUAUUUGCUUGAUUUGUCUCAUAUAUUUCUUUGGUCAAUUAUUGCAAUUCAUGAACUAACACUUUUACCUUUUGAGUGUUUUUCUUUCUUUUUAAAGAGAGUUUGGUUUGUGAUGGUAAUCAAAGUUGCUCAUUUUACAAAUACUAAAAGCAAAGUAAUCAUUGGCGCCAUCAGUCGCAAAGAAGAAUAAAAAUUUCUCAAUGGCGCACUAUUUUACAUUUUGGAGUUAUUGUUUUAUUUUCUUGUUGUUGUACUUUGUGAUUUCCUUGUAAUCGUACUUUUUAGUUGUAAGGAACUACGCUUGACUUGAAUUCCCAAGAAUGGGAUAUGUAGGUGGCCUAUGUUGGCUUCGGUCAAUCCCUUAGUAAGUUUAUCUUUUUAUUUUACGUGCGAACUACGUUUGACCUGAAUUCUCAAAAAUAAGAUACGUAGGUGGCCUAUGUCGGCUUUGGUCAAUCCUUUAGAAAAAUUAUUUUUCCAUCUUAUGGUGGAACUAUAUUUGAUAUGAUUCCUACCUAAAUGGAAUAUGUGGGCACCACACUAGCUUGAUCAUAUUUUCGAUAAGAUUUUCAUAGAAUCUAGAACAAAUUUUUUGAGAGGAUCUCAAAAUUUUAUCAAGAGAAUCUUUUUUCAAGUUACAUGGAGAUAAAAUUGGGGCAUGUAACUGGGUCAAGAAUUGUUGAUAAGGUCUCAAAAAAUUUGUAAAACUCAAUAUUUACUACAAAGGUUAAACAUCAGACGUUGCUAAAGCUGAGAUCGGGGCAUAGAUUUUGUGAAGUUCUCAAAUUUCAAGCUACACUAUGCCAGAAAACACUUAAGUAUUUUGCAAUCUAGACUGGGGCAAAUUUUUUGAGAAGAACUCAAAAAUUUCCUACUAAAUGAUGUCAUAAGUUACAAAGAAGUUCGAGAGUUUCUAAAUUGGGGCAGAAUUUUUGAGGCAGAUCCUCAAAAAUUCGACAAAAAUUGUACUUCAAGACUGCAAAUUAAUGAUCAACAAGGAGCUUCAGGAGAGCAAGGCAAUUCCAACAUAGUCAGACUCUCAAAAACUAAGAAUUUUUCUUUGGAUGUAGGAACAAUGAAAUCACAACGUUGACAGUGUUAAGCUUGAUAAAAGGCAUUAUCUGACCCACCGUGGCCUUGUCAUAACAAUUCAAACAACUUCUCUUCUCCUUAUUCUUUUUAUUUAUGUUCCUAUUACUUUAUUAUAAUCUCUAAAACAUUAUCUGAUUUUGUAGGGCACUGACCCGUCAUAACAACUUGN
Molecule: long non-coding RNA, 3709 nt
Filed under: Capsicum annuum
Lineage: Eukaryota; Viridiplantae; Streptophyta; Magnoliopsida; Solanales; Solanaceae
Description: long non-coding RNA (CANN_LNC017452)
Source: RNAcentral